RNAcentral lists this ribosomal RNA (433 nucleotides) under uncultured bacterium. RNAcentral describes it as "partial 16S ribosomal RNA". It matches the Rfam family "Bacterial small subunit ribosomal RNA", at positions 29 to 507 of the family's 1533-position model. The record is from RNAcentral.
AACGAACGCUGGCGGCGUGCCUAACACAUGCAAGUCGAACGAGAAGUCCCGGCUUUGUGGCGCACGGGUGCGUGCCGAGGGGGAACUUGCACUUAGGUACGGAAUAACUCCCCGAGAGGGGUGCUAAUAACAGAUAGUGUCUUCGGACAAAAGAUUUAUCGCCGUUGGAUGGGGGUGCGUUGGUUUAGGUGGUUGGUAGGGUAAAAGCCUACCAAGGGCACGAUCCUUAGCUGGUCUGUGAGGAUGAUUCGCCACACUUGGACUGAGACACAGCCGAGACUCCUACGCAAGGCAGCAGUGUAUAAUAUUGGACAAUGGGCGAAGGCCUGACCUAGCAAUGCCGCGUAAGUGAUGAAGGCCGUAGGGUUGUAAAUCUCUUUUACCCGGGAUGAUAGUGACGGUACCGGGAGAAUAAGCUCCGGCUAACUCCGUG